GUGCACACUUCAGUAUCACACAUACUAAAAUUAGAAUCAUACAAAGAUUAGCAUAGCCCUUGCCAGAGGAUGACACAUAAACCAGUGAUAUGUUCCCGUGUGUG
This is a small nuclear RNA of Acomys russatus (golden spiny mouse), 104 nucleotides long. NCBI's taxonomy places the organism in Eukaryota, Metazoa, Chordata, Mammalia, Rodentia, Muridae. The record is from RefSeq and is a predicted model, not a curated record.